GUGUGUGUGUGACAGCUGUAAGUGCAAAACAGAGAAACACACACACCCAGGCAGGAGCACGGGCUCUCCUCCUCGCGUAUGGGUACAGUGCCGCCACCGCCGCCAUGCGCGGCCGUGCGGAGCGGAUGCCGUGAUGGCGAGGCGGCCCUACCACUGGCGGCGCUCCCCCCGGGCCAGGCCCACCCCCCGCACCACCAGCUCGAUCUCCUAUUUCCUUCCCAAUGUCCAGCACAGCCCGCCCUCCUCUCUGGCUUCUGGCAUGGAAAACCUCCCUCUCCGACUUUCGGCCUCUCCCCGACCUCUGGCCGGUGCUGCAGGAGGUACACAACACCCACCUCCAUGCCAUUGCAACUUCCAGCCGCGACGUCCAUCGCCUUCUCUAGAUUCAGCGGCUAUCUGCACAGCUGCACGCCAGCUGUUCGGUCAAUUGACCCAACAGACAGGAGCCUAGAGAAUGGAGAGCAAGAGGAGAUGUUGUCUUUGGCACCAUACUGAACUAUUGAGGCAGCAGGAAGAUGAGUGUAUCGUGCAAGAGGAGAUCCUGGCCGCCGUCCUGUGCCUCGGCGACCAGUACGAUCACGUCCUCACGUGCCUCCUCCUGGCUGAUCCGAUGCCAGCAACUGUCAUCUUCCCAAAAUUUAAAUGGACACUUGGAUGUUCUUAUUAUUUUUCUUCUGAAAUGAACAUAGCUGUGAAUUUUUUCUUGGGUGGAAUCAAAUUCUGAUGGAAUUUACAAUAUACUCUGUAUUGUUGUUUUUUAGGUCUUACACAUCUCGUGUACCCAGGGUCAUCCACACCCGUUUUGAACGUUCAUUAGAUGUUUAUCGGCUAGCUGGGGAGGCAUGAAUAAUCUUUAAAAGACCAUGUUUGUACUGUUAAACACAUGCUCCAGAAAUGCUAUACAUGUUCUCUUCUUUGUUCUUUUGGUGCAUGUGAGUUACAAGGCAACAUUGAGAACACAAAAGCCAGUAUGUUUGAGCUAUGGGCACAAGCUAGGGGCAGUACCUCCCGGCUGCCCCAGCACUUAAGGCGACUGUCCAAUUCCACUUUCAUCCAUGGAGGCUGUGGUUUAGUUCUCAGUUUUUUGGCUUAUCGUUGUGCCUCAAGUUUCCGACAUCGCGUGGCUGUACACCAAUGACUUUCGCCGAUAAUCCGUCUGCUCGUACUCGACCGUUCACCGGAACUUUGUGUGACCUGAGGUACACCACAUGUACUCAUUACAAGAUGAUCUUCAGGAAAGACAAUAAUUACAAGUAGCGAUCAAAGGAGAUAAAGCUAGCUAAAUUUUUAUCUAGGAAGAACAACUGCUGUAUGACAGAAAAAUAUAAGAAAAGAUAAACUAAUAUCAUGGUGAUGGCAUUACUUGACUAUUUUGGAAGUAGCAAUCAAAGGUGAUAAUGGUAGCUAAUUUUUUAUAUAGGAAGAACAGCUGUUGUGACAGAGAAACGAAAGCUAAAUAUAAAAGUAUAUACCUGUUUGUGUCUGUCAAUUUAAUUGUCAUGAGUAUUUCAAAUUCAUUCUUCUUACUUCUUCAGAUAAUACACUAUGUACUACUUUUGUUCAGGUAUAUACUACUUUUUAUCAUUUUUACUUUUUCUAACCGGAUGCAUGCAUGCUUGUCCUCAUAGGUUUCCCUUGGUUCAGUACUCAAUUUUUUUGGUGUAUACUUUCUCCUCAUCAGUGAAGUAUAUGUACGACAAGACAGAAAGAAACAUAUACUGCUGAUCGAUACUGAAAUAUCAUAUGGAAGAUAGCCCUCUCUUCUAUACCCCUUUGUGAAAAGUAGUAUACUAUCAUUUGAAAAGAAAGCACACCAUAUACUCCUUUCUGAUAAUGAGUAUACACUGAUCGUUAUUUCCAGUGUCAUAGGUAUAUACUCUGAGAAUAGUUGUAUAUAUCUGUUUUGAAAAUAUAGUAUGUAUAUACUCCUUGCAAACUACUCCAUAUCAUUUAAGCGUUUUUACAUAAGACUGUCCGUCUAGAUACAAUAACUAAUUAGUAUUUUAAUAACUUGAAUUGCAUGGCUUGAGCUCUGUGCUGGGGUCUUCUCUUAUGUAUGAGUGCACCAUGUGCGGAUUAAAUUUUUUGGGGUCUUCUAACUCUCUGGGACAAUUUGCAUCUUUAUUUGUGCUAAUUGGCAAGGUGCAUGAAUAAUGAUUUAUCUAGGGUUUUUGCUUAAUGGAAAGGCCUUUUCAGUUAAAAAAAACCCUACUGAUUUGAUCAACAGAGCAUGCCUCUGUUUUUAAAUAGCAGUAGUUCCUUUGACCUUCUCCUUAUUUAAUUGACUAUUUUGGUCUCAAGAUCCAAUAGCCUUGCUGUUAGUUAAUGCUCUAUUUAUAUUUUCUUCCAACAAAACAAAUGUAUGUUUACAGGAAAAAAGUCGCCAUUUCCAGCAAAAACAAUGGCCUGCUGUCGCCAGGUCGCAACAAAAGUUUUGGCCGGUCCCAUAAGAAAAAUAGUUCCAGCAAAAAAAGAUUGUUGUUGCGGUCACAGGUACUAUAUGGUUUCACUCUACGCCUCUGUAGUUAUUUGGCUGAAGAUGUGCAUUACUGUUGGCUGUGAUAAUACAUAUAGUAAGAUUGCAUGUUAUACCAGCUUAGCAGAACUUCACGGAAAUUUGCUAGAGGAGUUGCAACAGCCUUGAUCAAAUAUUAUUUUCAUUAUUCCUUCUUGGUUUUAGACAAUAACAGUAGAUAAUCUUCAUCGAAAUUUGCUAGAGAAGUUGCAACAGCUUUGAUCAAAUAUUAUUUUUAUUAUUCCUUCUUGGCUUUAGACAAUAAAGUAGAGAACCAAAAUCCUUCUACUGUAUGUGUACCUGUAAUAGAGAAAAGUCACUCUGUCUUUAUCAUGCCAAUAGGCCAAUGUGCCCAGAAAUUAGACAACAGGGGGAAUUAGCUAGUCACCGGCUCUGAAAGCAUAAAAAACAAUUCAGUAUUUAGGCGACUACUCAAUUUUGAAGAGCUACUUCUUCAAAAAAGAUAGAUACGUGAGCUUUUUCUAAACUGUAGGAUAUCAUAGUCUGCUCUGCUAGCUGUAAAUUGUAGGGGAUUAGUGUAGCUUAAUGCCGUUGUUGAACUGAGUUAGCAAGUAUAUGUUGCUUUUUGUUAGGAAAGUGAAAAAGAAACUCUUUGAUGUCGGGCCUAUCCCUGUGGUAGUGACAACUUUUUAAUUUACUCACAAGCGUCAAAUAUUUUGUGAUGAGAGAAGUUGGUGAGUACCUAAUAGGUUUGAGGCGUUAUUUUCAUUUGCUAUGCUCGACAACCAUGAAAAAGUUGGGAUUGCAGCAAUCAUGCUAAAUCUAUUCAAGUGUGUUAGUUUUACGCGGACGCGGCGAUUUGGUGCCCGAGCCCAGAUGCACCCGAAAUCGUCGGCGUCUGUUCGUGGCUUGGGAUACUCAAAAUUCGCUCUGACGCAUCUGACGCGGAGUGUGGGAAAAUGGGUGUGCAGUGGAAUACGGCAGCGAACAGUAGCGCAUUCGUGGGCACAGAACGUACGGGCGUCUGAGCCGUGGCUCAGAACUUGUACUGAUCCGUCUGGGAAACAUGUCGAGGGCUUCGGGACGGGGCGGUUUGACGAGCAAUGAGAUCGAGCGCUGGUGGGAGGUACCUCACGGUAAUGGCGGGCGCGGCGGAGCGGCGCUGGAUGCCGAUGGCAUGGAGUUCCUGCUGGAGCCAGGCUACCGGUGAGUUUCCCUCUGGAUUUUCGUGCUUCGAUGGAUUCCCCGCCGCAGCCGCUUAUUCUGUUGUGGUUCCCACUCAUGGAGGAGUUCGCGGACAGCUUGAAGCAGCCAAAUCCGGACACUCUAGGGUUCCUCCGUCCAUCCAUGGCCACUGGGCUGCAUCGCCGCCGACGCCGUCGCCACCGCCCCAUCGCCGUCGACCCUGACGCCACCGCUGCUCUCUAGAUCUCAGUCUCGCCGGCGCUCCUCUCUGCCUUGGGCCCCUGUACUGGACAGCUGCUCGCCGGUGUCGUCUUUCUCCUGUAUUGGUCGGCGGCAUCUCGUUCUCCUGUACUGGUCGGCAGCAUCUCGUUCUCCUGUACUGGUCGUCUGCACGAGAUCUCUAGUCCGGCAGCCUCCACCAGACACCACGGGCAUGUGCUACACUUCAGCCGACUCAUUCGGAGGUAUUGUUGUAUGUGAAUUGGAAAUCAGAAGUUGCGAAGCGCCAUCAAUGCUGCUUUGGAGCAUCGCCGCUACUCCUGCCAUGCCGGCGAUUUGCAACAUGGCGGAUUUUGUGGUGACAGAUGCAGCAGAGAUGCCGUGGUGCCCCUCUGCUUUUCAACAUGUCGCAUGUUGCGCCAGGGUGCGGUGGUGGUGGUAGGUGCCGCCCUCCAGGAUGCAUCACUCCUCGCAGGAAUGGCUUACAGCGGUCGUUGCCGUGGCCCUGCUUUGCAGCAUCAGUGGUGGUCGUGCUGGCUGGCAGAAUCGCGGUGGGCGAUGUCUGUGUGCGGGCCCACCAGGCAUGUGGCAAUUGCACGCGGCACUUGAUUCUACAUUAAAAAUUACUCCCUCCAUCCCGAAAAACAUGUCGUAGCGCUGUUUUUACAAUUUAUCCCUUGUUGUUUUCCUGACCAAACCCGCGGUCCUCUCUCUCCUUCCCCACUCUUCUUCGACGCCAGCUGAUUUGGUCGUGCCCGCCCCCCCCCCCGGCCCCCCCGCCUUUCUCCCCCCCCCCCCCCCCCCCCCCCCCCCCCCCCCCCCCGCACCCCAUGCCUGCGCCUCGUUUCCCUCCCCUUCGCCCGCCGCAUCGUUCCCCUCUGCUACCACCCUUCAAGGUUCAAUUUUUGGAGACCACUGUCCGGAGUCGACCAACUCCUCGACUUGGACCACGAAGCUCGCCCCCUCCAUGGACGCCAUUGACCUGAGCACUAGAAAGCACGGGUGCACCUUCUCCACUCCACGGACGGCUACGCGCUUAAGGUGGAGGAGCUCACCGUGUUCAAAAAGGUGGAGGAGCUCACCGCCGAACUCGCCGGAGUGGUGCUCGCCGUCGCCCCCGCGCAUCCGGGCCCGUCGCCGCCGCCGCCGCCAAAGACCACCUCUUCAAGGGGUCGCAGGACCACCCGGGCCUGGUCACCAUCUCCAUGGAGGAGAUCCUGCAGUUCGCGGCGUCCAUUGGUGGCGCCAUCAGGACACCCACGUUGUCACACCCUCGAUGCGACUAGCUCCCACGUGUCGAGGCACGACUUAGAGGCAUAAUCGCAUUGAAGGCAUAUGUCGCAAGUUAGGCAAUCU
Molecule: non-coding RNA, 5236 nt
Organism: Triticum urartu
Lineage: Eukaryota; Viridiplantae; Streptophyta; Magnoliopsida; Poales; Poaceae
Source: RefSeq, a predicted model, not a curated record